Molecule: ribosomal RNA, 249 nt
Filed under: Pseudomonas moraviensis
Lineage: Bacteria; Pseudomonadati; Pseudomonadota; Gammaproteobacteria; Pseudomonadales; Pseudomonadaceae
Description: partial 16S ribosomal RNA
Rfam family: Bacterial small subunit ribosomal RNA
Source: RNAcentral
AUGGCUCAGAUUGAACGCUGGCGGCAGGCCUAACACAUGCAAGUCGAGCGGAUGAGAGGAGCUUGCUCCUGGAUUCAGCGGCGGACGGGUGAGUAAUGCCUAGGAAUCUGCCUGGUAGUGGGGGGCAACGUUUCGAAAGGAACGCUAAUACCGCAUACGUCCUACGGGAGAAAGCAGGGGACCUUCGGGCCUUGCGCUAUCAGAUGAGCCUAGGUCGGAUUAGCUAGUUGGUGAGGUAAUGGCUCACCA